CCCUACUUCUGCUGCCUCAACAGCAACUGCGAGGACCUGCCAACAACUGCCAGGGAAUGAAGGCCAGUGAACCCUGUCAGGACUGAAUGACGACUACAGAAAGAGCAGAAAAGAGAGAGAGCUUCCUUCCCUGGAACUCUGCUGGGGGAAGUGGGCUUGGAAGAUGGUGGCUGCCUGUUUAAGGGUCCAAGGCUUCUCCUUUCUCCUCCUGUUGGUGCCAGAAGAAACAGACACAUAGAUGGAGGACAAGUUAUUUGAGGCCAAUUUGAAUGAGUUUCCAAAAAUUCCAACUCCUGCCAGGGCUGUGCUCUGUUGCCUGCUCCUCCCACUCUCAUCAAUUCCUGACCCUGCUGGAGCCCAUAAACAGGGGAGGGGCUUACAGCUCUGGCUUUGGGGUUCUGUUAAAUGUCACUGACAAAAGAUUACCAGGAUUUCUUUGAUCUGCAGUCCAAAAAAAAGAAAAAAAGACGUUAGAUUUACUGGCCUUCCUACAAUAGGAGCAAAUGUCCCCAGAGGAACACGGGGACUUCAGGAAGAAGGAGUUGGGAGAGGUUUCUUACAGGAUUGGACUCACAUGGGGUGACUCUAGGAGGGGAAGAGGAAAGUGGGGGGCAGUCCUAGAUUGGAUGCUGUCAAGGAGUACGGGCAAUUUGUAAUCGUAUGUGAAUUUUAUCAAGACUAUAGGAGCACUCCAGAUGGCCGUCAUUGGUGAUGGACAGCAGUCAUUCAGGUCCAUCAGAAGAGGACAUUUAGUCACUUUCGUGCUUGGAGAAUGGCCUGGUCUGUCUUGCCCCAAACAUAUUGUUGGGAGGUGGGAG
RNAcentral lists this long non-coding RNA (818 nucleotides) under Homo sapiens (human). RNAcentral describes it as "HSALNT0061392". The record is from RNAcentral. Lineage: Eukaryota; Metazoa; Chordata; Mammalia; Primates; Hominidae.